AUUACAUUUCAUAAAUAUUUACACUCAAUUCUUGUCAAACAAGAAAUAUUCGUUAUAAUUAAUAUAUGUUUUAUAUUUUUACAAGGCUGAGAAGUACGUAACGGUGUUCCGCACAGGAGCUGGACCAACGGUCGCUGAGUGUGCCAGUCAGCUUAGCACUGAACCUG
Trichomycterus rosablanca is the source of this 167-nucleotide long non-coding RNA. RefSeq lists it as uncharacterized. The transcript has 3 exons. The record is from RefSeq and is a predicted model, not a curated record. NCBI's taxonomy places the organism in Eukaryota, Metazoa, Chordata, Actinopteri, Siluriformes, Trichomycteridae.